Molecule: ribosomal RNA, 859 nt
Filed under: uncultured bacterium
Lineage: Bacteria
Description: bacterial SSU rRNA
Rfam family: Bacterial small subunit ribosomal RNA
Source: RNAcentral
AGAGUGAACGCUGGCGGCGUGCUUAACACAUGCAAGUCGAACGAGAACGGAUUUAAGCUUGCUUAAAUUGUCAGCUAAGUGGCGCACGGGUGAGUAAUAUAUAGUUAACCUGCCCUAGAGAGGGGGAUAACGUUUGGAAACGAACGCUAAUACCCUAUAUGCCUUUAAUACAUAAGUAUGCAAGGGAAAUAUUUAUAGCUCUAGGAUGGGACUGUACGGUAUCAGUUAGUUGGUGAGGUAAUGGCUCACCAAGACUAUGACACCUAACUGGUUUGAGAGGAUGAUCAGUCACACUGGAACUGAGACACGGUCCAGACUCCUACGGGAGGCAGCAGUGGGGAAUAUUGCGCAAUGGACGAAAGUCUGAUGCAGCAACGCCGCGUGGAGGAUGACACAUUUCGGUGCGUAAACUCCUUUUAUAUAGGAAGAUAAUGACGGUACUAUAUGAAUAAGCACCGGCUAACUCCGUGCCAGCAGCCGCUGUAAUACGGAGGGUGCAAGCGUUACUCGGAAUCACUGGGCGUAAAGAGCGUGUAGGCGGGUUAAUAAGUUGGAAGUGAAAUCCUAUGGCUCAACCAUAGAACUGCUUUCAAAACUGUUAACCUAGAGUAUGGGAGAGGUAGAUGGAAUUUCUGGUGUAGGGGUAAAAUCCGUAGAGAUCAGAAGGAAUACCGAUUGCGAAGGCGAUCUACUGGAACAUAACUGACGCUGAGACGCGAAAGCGUGGGGAGCAAACAGGAUUAGAUACCCUGGUAGUCCACGCCCUAAACGAUGCACACUAGUUGUUGCUAUGCUAGACAUAGCAGUAAUGCAGUUAACACAUUAAGUGUGCCGCCUGGGGAGUACGGUCGCAAGAUUA